RNAcentral lists this long non-coding RNA (675 nucleotides) under Equus caballus (horse). RNAcentral describes it as "lncRNA (ENSECAG00000059344.1)". The record is from RNAcentral. Lineage: Eukaryota; Metazoa; Chordata; Mammalia; Perissodactyla; Equidae.
GUUAGCUCAGGGCUAAUCUUCCUCAAAAAACAAAAACAAAAAUAAUAAUCAUUCAAUUGAAAUGAUACAACAACUUCGCCAAAGGAUUAAAAAAAAUCAAGUAUCCACUCACAUUUGGAAGAAAGAAGAUUUCCAGUAAAAAUAGAAAGAAGCUACUCUCCAGGAAACUAAGGUCACUGCAGCUCAGGAAGCGCCGCGGGCACCAGCAGACAGCCAGGCAGGAGCCCUGCUCUCUCCUCCCGCUCCCGCGCCAUUCACUCUCCAUCACACACAGCCUGUCUUCAUUAUAUGUUCACGCGCAUAGGCCUUGAUUCCCUAAGAUAACUUCCCUAGAGAAUGAUACGUUUCUUUUAAAAAAAAUUAUUUAUUUCAAUGAGGUCACUUUGAAAUUUAUAUAGCAUCAUAUAAAUUUCAGAUGUCCAUCGUUAUAUUUUGACUUCUGUAUAGACUGCAUCACGUUCACCAACAAGAGUCUAGUUUCCAGUUGAUAUGCUUCUUGACAUAAGUGUCUGUAAUUUUUAUUUGUAGGCUCUACAACACUCUGCACAAAGUAAGUGCUCUAAAAUAUUGCAUUGAUAGGUUAAAAAUGAUAUUCCUUCUAUUUCAGAGACUUUUAAUUAGGAAUGAAAUCAUUAUAGAAAACUGACAUUUAAGAAUGACUUACGUGUGAUCUAG